UACGUAGGGGGCAAGCGUUGUCCGGAAUCAUUGGGCGUAAAGCGCGUGUAGGCGGCUGAGUAAGUCUGCUCUGAAAGCCCGGGGCUCAACCCCGGGAGGCGGGUGGAUACUGCUCAGCUCGAGUCCGGAAGAGGAGUGUGGAAUUCCUGGUGUAGCGGUGAAAUGCGCAGAUAUCAGGAGGAACACCAAUGGCGAAGGCAGCACUCUGGGACGGUACUGACGCUGAGACGCGAAAGCUAGGGGAGCGAACAGG
Molecule: ribosomal RNA, 253 nt
Filed under: uncultured bacterium
Lineage: Bacteria
Description: partial 16S ribosomal RNA
Rfam family: Bacterial small subunit ribosomal RNA
Source: RNAcentral